AACGAACGCUGGCGGCAUGCCUAACACAUGCAAGUCGAACGAGACCUUCGGGUCUAGUGGCGCACGGGUGCGUAACGCGUGGGAACCUGCCCUUAGGUUCGGAAUAACUCCCCGAAAGGGGUGCUAAUACCGGAUAAUGUCUUCGGACCAAAGAUUUAUCGCCUUUGGAUGGGCCCGCGUUGGAUUAGCUAGUUGGUAGGGUAAAAGCCUACCAAGGCGACGAUCCAUAGCUGGGCUGAGAGGAUGAUCCGCCACACUGGGACUGAGACACGGCCCAGACUCCUACGGGAGGCAGCAGUGGGGAAUAUUGGACAAUGGGCGAAAGCCUGAUCCAGCAAUGCCGCGUGAGUGAUGAAGGCCUUAGGGUUGUAAAGCUCUUUUACCCGGGAUGAUAAUGACAGUACCGGGAGAAUAAGCUCCGGCUAACUCCGUG
RNAcentral lists this ribosomal RNA (433 nucleotides) under uncultured bacterium. Its description in RNAcentral is "partial 16S ribosomal RNA". It matches the Rfam family "Bacterial small subunit ribosomal RNA", at positions 29 to 507 of the family's 1533-position model. The record is from RNAcentral.